This 837-nucleotide ribosomal RNA is filed under the name uncultured archaeon. Its description in RNAcentral is "bacterial SSU rRNA". It matches the Rfam family "Archaeal small subunit ribosomal RNA", at positions 1 to 844 of the family's 1478-position model. The record is from RNAcentral.
UUCCGGUUGAUCCUGCCGGCGGCCACCGCUAUUGGAAUUCGAUUAAGACAUGCGAGUCUUAAGGACUUCGGUCCUUGGCAUACGGCUCAGUAACACGUGGACAAUCUGCCCUAAGGUGGGGGAUAAUUUCGGGAAACUGAAGAUAAUACCCCAUAGAUCAUGGAUGCUGGAAUGCUUCAUGAUUCAAAGCUCCGGCGCCUUAGGAUGAGUCUGCGGCCUAUCAGGUUGUAGUGGGUGUAGUGGACCCACUAGCCACUGACGGGUACGGGCGUUGGGAGACGUCGCCCGGAGAUGGAUUCUGAGACACGAAUCCAGGCCCUACGGGGCGCAGCAGUUACGAAAACUUGACAAUGCGGGAAACCGCGAUCAGGGAAUUCCAAGUGCAUGCACAAUGUGUAUGCUGUUCCAUUGUCUUAAAAACAUAGGAAGUAAGGGCUGGGUAAGACAGGUGCCAGCCGCCGCGGUAAUACCUGCAGCCCGAGUGGUGGUCGAUAUUAUUGAGCCUAAAGCGUCCGUAGCCGGACUAGUAAAUUCUUGGGUAAAUCGGGCAGCUUAACUGUCCGACUUCCGAGGAGACUGCUAGUCUUGGGACUGGGAGAGGUCAGAGGUACUCCAGGGGUAGGGGCUAAAUCCUGUAAUCCUUGGGGGACCACCAGUGGCGAAGGCGUCUGACUAGAACGGAUCCGACGGUAAGGGACGAAACCCUGGGGCGCAAACCGGAUUAGAUACCCGGGUAGUCCAGGGCGUAAACGCUGCAGGCUUGGUGUUGAGGAUCCUACGAGGAUGCUCAGUGCCGGAGUGAAGAUGUUAAGCCUGCCGCUUGGGGAGUACGUCCGC